RNAcentral lists this ribosomal RNA (432 nucleotides) under uncultured bacterium. Its description in RNAcentral is "partial 16S ribosomal RNA". It matches the Rfam family "Bacterial small subunit ribosomal RNA", at positions 29 to 507 of the family's 1533-position model. The record is from RNAcentral.
ACGAACGCUGGCGGCAGGCCUAACACCUGCAAGUCGAGCGCGCCCUUCGGGGUGAGCGGCGGACGGGUGAGUAACGCGUGGGAACGUGCCCUUUUCUACGGAAUAGCCUCGGGAAACUGAGAGUAAUACCGUAUACGCCCUUUGGGGGAAAGAUUUAUCGGAAAAGGAUCGGCCCGCGUUGGAUUAGGUAGUUGGUGGGGUAAUGGCCUACCAAGCCGACGAUCCAUAGCUGGUUUGAGAGGAUGAUCAGCCACACUGGGACUGAGACACGGCCCAGACUCCUACGGGAGGCAGCAGUGGGGAAUCUUAGACAAUGGGGGCAACCCUGAUCUAGCCAUGCCGCGUGAGUGAUGAAGGCCUUAGGGUUGUAAAGCUCUUUCAGCUGGGAAGAUAAUGACGGUACCAGCAGAAGAAGCCCCGGCUAACUCCGUG